Molecule: long non-coding RNA, 105 nt
Organism: Priapulus caudatus
Lineage: Eukaryota; Metazoa; Priapulida; Priapulimorpha; Priapulimorphida; Priapulidae
Exons: 3
Source: RefSeq, a predicted model, not a curated record
AUCGGAAUGAGAUGUGUUUUUAGUGUAGGCGAAUUGAGAGUAUGCGAAAUUGGCGUAGACCAACUGGGAGUUUUGCUAUAGACGAAAUGGCAAUUUUGACGUAGA